UCGUGAGCCGAAUUGUCGGGG
This 21-nucleotide unclassified non-coding RNA is filed under the name Chlamydomonas reinhardtii. RNAcentral describes it as "small RNA Cre_2749". Lineage: Eukaryota; Viridiplantae; Chlorophyta; Chlorophyceae; Chlamydomonadales; Chlamydomonadaceae. The record is from RNAcentral.